This 604-nucleotide ribosomal RNA is filed under the name uncultured bacterium. RNAcentral's name for it is "bacterial SSU rRNA". It matches the Rfam family "Bacterial small subunit ribosomal RNA", at positions 331 to 929 of the family's 1533-position model. The record is from RNAcentral.
CCAGACUCCUACGGGAGGCAGCAGUGGGGAAUUUUGGACAAUGGGCGAAAGCCUGAUCCAGCAAUGCCGCGUGUGUAAUGAAGGCCUUCGGGUUGUAAAGCACUUUUGGCGGGAACGAAAAGGACUGUGCCAAUACCACGGUUCGAUGACGGUACCCGCAGAAUAAGCACCGGCUAACUACGUGCCAGCAGCCGCGGUAAUACGUAGGGUGCAAGCGUUAAUCGGAAUUACUGGGCGUAAAGAGUGCGCAGGCGGUUUUGCAAGACCGAUGUGAAAUCCCCGGGCUUAACCUGGGAACUGCAUUGGUGACUGCAAGGCUAGAGUGUGUCAGAGGGAGGUGGAAUUCCGCAUGUAGCAGUGAAAUGCGUAGAUAUGCGGAGGAACACCGAUGGCGAAGGUAGCCUCCUGGGAUAACACUGACGCUCAUGCACGAAAGCGUGGGGAGCAAACAGGAUUAGAUACCCUGGUAGUCCACGCCCUAAACGAUGUCUACUAGUUGUCGGGGAUUAAUUUCCUUGGUAACGCAGCUAACGCGUGAAGUAGACCGCCUGGGGAGUACGGUCGCAAGAUUAAAACUCAAAGGAAUUGACGGGGCCCGCACAAG